Molecule: transfer RNA, 75 nt
Filed under: marine sediment metagenome
Description: tRNA-Asp
Rfam family: tRNA
About the family: Transfer RNA (tRNA) molecules are approximately 80 nucleotides in length. Their secondary structure includes four short double-helical elements and three loops (D, anti-codon, and T loops).
Source: RNAcentral
CCCUCUGUAGUGUAUAGGCUACCACGGAAGACUGUCGAUCUUCAGAAUCGGGUUCGAGUCCCGGCAGGGGGGCCA